AAAAGAAAAGGGUGAAAAGAACAAAGUUUUGUCCAUCUUUGUUCAUCAUAGCUGAAAGUUAGAGAAGAGAAAAGAGAGGAGAAAGCUCUUGAGUAUUUGGUCAUUAGGAGGAGGAAAAUUGAAGGAGGUUCGUGUGUGGAUCUCAUCAGCAUAUCGUCGCAAACAGGAAAUCCCUAACCAUAGUGGGCUUGGAGCUGUGAGGGAAUUCGGAGUGGCCACCCGC
This is a long non-coding RNA of Gossypium arboreum, 223 nucleotides long. RefSeq lists it as uncharacterized. The record is from RefSeq and is a predicted model, not a curated record. Lineage: Eukaryota; Viridiplantae; Streptophyta; Magnoliopsida; Malvales; Malvaceae. The transcript has 3 exons.